UACGAAGGGGGCUAGCGUUGUUCGGAAUUACUGGGCGUAAAGCGCGCGUAGGCGGUGAUCUUUGUCAGAGGUGAAAGCCCGGGGCUCAACUCCGGAAUUGCCUUUGAAACGGGAUCGCUUGAGUCCGAGAGAGGAUGGCGGAAUUCCUAGUGUAGAGGUGAAAUUCGUAGAUAUUAGGAAGAACACCGGUGGCGAAGGCGGCCAUCUGGCUCGGUACUGACGCUGAGGUGCGAAAGCGUGGGGAGCAAACAGG
This 253-nucleotide ribosomal RNA is filed under the name uncultured bacterium. RNAcentral describes it as "partial 16S ribosomal RNA". It matches the Rfam family "Bacterial small subunit ribosomal RNA", at positions 524 to 776 of the family's 1533-position model. The record is from RNAcentral.